UACGUAGGGGGCAAGCGUUAUCCGGAUUUACUGGGUGUAAAGGGAGCGUAGACGGCCAUUCAAGCCAGAUGUGAAAGCCCGGGGCUCAACCCCGGGACUGCAUUUGGAACUGUAUGGCUGGAGUGUCGGAGAGGCAGGCGGAAUUCCUAGUGUAGCGGUGAAAUGCGUAGAUAUUAGGAGGAACACCAGUGGCGAAGGCGGCCUGCUAGACGAUGACUGACGUUGAGGCUCGAAAGCGUGGGGAGCAAACAGG
RNAcentral lists this ribosomal RNA (253 nucleotides) under uncultured bacterium. RNAcentral describes it as "partial 16S ribosomal RNA". It matches the Rfam family "Bacterial small subunit ribosomal RNA", at positions 524 to 776 of the family's 1533-position model. The record is from RNAcentral.